This is a non-coding RNA of Arachis ipaensis, 682 nucleotides long. Lineage: Eukaryota; Viridiplantae; Streptophyta; Magnoliopsida; Fabales; Fabaceae. The record is from RefSeq and is a predicted model, not a curated record.
UUUGGAUUCCGGGAACCUUUAUCGUCACUGCAUGUCUAUUUCAGCUCUCCGCCGCCGCUGCUUGUUGUUCUGAACUGCUGCACCGUCGUUGCCGCCGUUCGGGUCACUGGGAACAUGGCAGUGAUCACCGGAACCACCAUCGGAGUUAUCGUUAUUUCAAUUCAGCCGUUCGUCGUUGUUUGGGAUCGAGUUCCGGGUCUUGAUUGCUGAGUUCUAUGGCUGUAGCAUACAACAUCAAGGGGCUGUGUCGUCACCGGAGCUGCUGUUGCUCCAUUUUCUCAAUUAUUUGUAAGCCCAGUAAGUCGUUCCUUGUUCCAAACUCUUUUAGUUGCUAUUCUGUUAUAGACUAUUGAGUUUACGCGACAUUAAUGUUUUAGGAUUGAGCUAAGGCUAUGUUUAGAGGUUGUGGCUGCUGCGGGGACGGUCAGUAUUGAUGUUGCUGCUGUGGAAUAAGAAUAAAAAUGUAGUUUGUCGCGUAGUUAGAUCGCGAAUGAGCUUUACCUUUUCAGGAACCAGAUGAAGAAGUAUUAAGAAGAGUUAUACUGCGUUUGGUUUAUAUGCUGUUGUCUUAAUUAGAUUAUUUUCUUCCCUCGUCUUUGUUAUUACAAGUUUGUAAGAGGGAUAGGAAUCGUAUGUUUUAUAUAUACAAUAUAUUGAAUUAUUAUGUAAGGAGUCUUGUAUA